CUUAAAUGACCACAAGACUCAUUUUGAUCUAUUCAUGACAAGAGCAUACAUACCUUCCUACAAAGACUCGGACGAACAAGUUAGUUAUCACUUUAAAAUAAUUUUGAAAAAUAAAAAGAGUAACAUUUUAGAGUAAACAAAAAGACGGAAUUAUAAAAACGCAUGAUGUUAUAAGCAUAAAAGAGUGACAUUGACCUUUAUGGGAAGUCUUUUGAAAGAGGAAAAAGAACAAGAUACAAUUAGAAAGUCCUACUAAACCAAACAUCCUAUUUCUAGAUACCAACAAGUUAAAGUAACUUUUCUAUAUUGUGAGAACCAAAUCAAAAACGGAAAUCACGAUUUCAAACAAAAUUCAAAGUUUCCACUUUACUUGUACAAAUUACAAAAGGGCAAUAAUUGUCUUAUAUAUUACUGUCAAAUAAACUUGUUUGAAUAAUAUGUUGGGUCCAUAUAUAUACAUGAAAUUCUGGUUUUCAAAAACUGAGUUUGUUUUUCUACAUGCAACCUCAAGAGCCAAUACCAAACCAAAGCUAAGUUGAAAGCUCUCAAAUUUUAUACACCCAGUCCCCUCCCCGCCUUUUAUUUUCUCUACACACCUUCUCCCAUUUCUUUCGCAAGAUCUCGUGAGCUUAAUAGGCAUUAUGAAGAACAACUCAAAUUUCCAAUGUUUUGCUUUAACUUUCACUAGGGACACCAGAAUUUAUAUUUGAGGCAUGACUCCCCACUUCAAACACAGCCUGACACCCAAAGUUUUCAGCCUCUGCCCAUUUCCAAUGUUUCAGAAGGCCCCCCAUGUCAAUGAAUCUCAUUCACUCAGCUCG
Molecule: long non-coding RNA, 821 nt
Filed under: Lathyrus oleraceus (garden pea)
Lineage: Eukaryota; Viridiplantae; Streptophyta; Magnoliopsida; Fabales; Fabaceae
Description: Pisum sativum (pea) long non-coding RNA (PSAT_LNC039177)
Source: RNAcentral